This 374-nucleotide ribosomal RNA is filed under the name uncultured bacterium. RNAcentral describes it as "bacterial SSU rRNA". It matches the Rfam family "Bacterial small subunit ribosomal RNA", at positions 523 to 898 of the family's 1533-position model. The record is from RNAcentral.
AUACGUAGGGGGCGAGCGUUAUCCGGAAUUAUUGGGCGUAAAGAGUACGUAGGUGGUUUUGUAAGCGUGUGGUGAAAGACCGGGGCUUAACUCCGGUUAGCCAUGCGAACUGCAAGACUUGAGUGCAGGAGAGGAAAGUGGAAUUCCUAGUGUAGCGGUGAAAUGCGUAGAUAUUAGGAGGAACAUCAGUGGCGAAGGCGACUUUCUGGACUGUAACUGACACUGAGGUACGAAAGCGUGGGUAGCAAACAGGAUUAGAUACCCUGGUAGUCCACGCCGUAAACGAUGAGCACUAGGUGUCGGGGUCGCAAGGCUUCGGUGCCGCAGUUAACGCAUUAAGUGCUCCGCCUGGGGAGUACGCACGCAAGUGUGAA